AGUGAACGCUGGCGGUAGGCCUAACACAUGCGAGUCGAACGGCAGCACAGUAAGAGCUUGCUCUUACGGGUGGCGAGUGGCGGACGGGUGAGGAAUACAUCGGAAUCUACUUUUUCGUGGGGGAUAACGUAGGGAAACUUACGCUAAUACCGCAUACGACCUACGGGUGAAAGCAGGGGAUCUUCGGACCUUGCGCGAUUGAAUGAGCCGAUGUCGGAUUAGCUAGUUGGCGGGGUAAAGGCCCACCAAGGCGACGAUCCGUAGCUGGUCUGAGAGGAUGAUCAGCCACACUGGAACUGAGACACGGUCCAGACUCCUACGGGAGGCAGCAGUGGGGAAUGUUGGACAAUGGGUUAGCGCCUGAUCCAGCCAUCCCGCGUGAAGGACGACGGCCCUAUGGGUUGUAAACUUCUUUUGUAUAGGGAUAAACCUACUCUCGUGAGAGUAGCUGAAGGUACUAUACGAAUAAGCACCGGCUAACUCCGUG
This 487-nucleotide ribosomal RNA is filed under the name uncultured bacterium. RNAcentral's name for it is "partial 16S ribosomal RNA". It matches the Rfam family "Bacterial small subunit ribosomal RNA", at positions 29 to 507 of the family's 1533-position model. The record is from RNAcentral.